CAGCAGCCACGGUAAUACAGAGGGUGCAAGCGUUAAUCGGAAUUACUGGGCGUAAAGCGCGCGUAGGUGGUUCGUUAAGUUGGAUGUGAAAUCCCCGGGCUCAACCUGGGAACUGCAUCCAAAACUGGCGAGCUAGAGUAGGGCAGAGGGUGGUGGAAUUUCCUGUGUAGCGGUGAAAUGCGUAGAUAUAGGAAGGAACACCAGUGGCGAAGGCGACCACCUGGGCUCAUACUGACACUGAGGUGCGAAAGCGUGGGGAGCAAACAGGAUUAGAUACCCCUGUAGUCCCUGUCUCUUAUAC
RNAcentral lists this ribosomal RNA (301 nucleotides) under uncultured bacterium. Its description in RNAcentral is "partial 16S ribosomal RNA". It matches the Rfam family "Bacterial small subunit ribosomal RNA", at positions 509 to 807 of the family's 1533-position model. The record is from RNAcentral.